Molecule: ribosomal RNA, 492 nt
Filed under: uncultured bacterium
Lineage: Bacteria
Description: partial 16S ribosomal RNA
Rfam family: Bacterial small subunit ribosomal RNA
Source: RNAcentral
AGUGAACGCUGGCGGCAGGCCUAACACAUGCCAGUCGAACGGCCGCACAGUAAGAGCUUUCUCUUACGGGUGGCGAGUGGCGGACGGGUGACGAAUACAUCAGCAUCUACUUUUUCGGGGGGGAUAACGUAGGGAAACUUCCGCUAAUACCGCAUACGAUCUACGGCUUAAAUCAGUGGUGCUUCGCACCUUGCGCGUCUGAAUGAGCUGACGCCGGAUUAGCUAGUUGGCUAGGUAAAGGCCCACCAAGGCGACGCUGCGUAGCUGGUCUGAGAGGAUGAUCAGCCACACUGGAACUGAGACACGGUCCAGACUCCUACGGGAGGCAGCAGUGGGGAAUAUUGGACAAUGGGCGCAAGCCUGACCCAGCCAUGCCGCGUGAGUGAAGAAGGCCUUCGGGUUGUAAAGCCCUGUUGUUGGGAAAGAAAAGAUGCGGAUUAAACCCCGGAUGUUCUGACGGUACCCAAAGAAUAAGCACCGGCUAACUACGUG